CUCCUUUUCAUUUGUUUUCAAGGUUUGCUCUUACCCUUGCGUCUUUCUUACAAACAAUAAAUGUUACAAAUAAUCUUUUCGCCCCAUUUUCCCCUAGAACUCACUGCUAUGCUUAAGUUUGUGGCUGUUCUCAAACUACUGUUUUCAGUAAAUGCUUAUGUGUAUGCAUAAAGUUGUGAUUUUGUUUUUAAUACAUACAUAUUUACUCUUAACAACUGUUUUAUUUUAGGUUUGGGGGAUUGAACCUAGGGCGUUAGCACUCAGCUACAUCCCUAGCCCUUUUUACUUUUUUGUUUGGAGGCAAGGUCUCACUAAAUUGAGCUCCUGAUCCUCUUGCCUCAGCCUCCCUCGGUGCUGGGACUACAGGUCCCCAAGACCACCGUUGAGUUCAAUGACUCACAGAAAAGUGAUUAGUUUAAUAACCAAAAUCCACAAGUAUAGCUUAAAAUCUGCAAAGACCCAUUCCACUGUCAAGAUCUCCCAUGCAGUAUGGACUACAGAACUAUCCAGAGAAGUUAAACAACUUGGACAAGGUCACACCCACGUCAGAUGAUGGAGCCCAGAUUAGACUGGAGAGCUGAUUCUCAAGUGUAUGCUCAUGAUACGGUGAAUAAAUAUUUGGUGGAAUCUCUGGUGUGAAAAGAGUGCAUUUUGUAAGUCAAUCAGGUUGAUUGGUGCCUGGGGUCCCCUAGAGAGCUUCAGGAUGGG
RNAcentral lists this long non-coding RNA (708 nucleotides) under Heterocephalus glaber (naked mole-rat). RNAcentral describes it as "lncRNA (ENSHGLG00100036074.1)". Lineage: Eukaryota; Metazoa; Chordata; Mammalia; Rodentia; Bathyergidae. The record is from RNAcentral.